GAUGAACGCUGGCGGCGUGCCUAAUACAUGCAAGUCGAGCGAACGGACGAGAAGCUUGCUUCUCUGAUGUUAGCGGCGGACGGGUGAGUAACACGUGGAUAACCUACCUAUAAGACUGGGAUAACUUCGGGAAACCGGAGCUAAUACCGGAUAAUAUUUUGAACCGCAUGGUUCAAAAGUGAAAGACGGUCUUGCUGUCACUUAUAGAUGGAUCCGCGCUGCAUUAGCUAGUUGGUAAGGUAACGGCUUACCAAGGCAACGAUGCAUAGCCGACCUGAGAGGGUGAUCGGCCACACUGGAACUGAGACACGUUCCAGACUCCUACGAGAGGCAGCAGUAGGGAAUCAUCCGCAAUGGGCGAAAGCCUGACGGAGCAGCGCCGCGUGAGUGAUGAAGGUCUUCGGAUCGUAAAACUCUGUUAUUAGGGAAGAACAUAUGUGUAAGUAACUGUGCACAUCUUGACGGUACCUAGUCAGAAAGCCACGGCUAACUACGUG
Molecule: ribosomal RNA, 497 nt
Filed under: uncultured bacterium
Lineage: Bacteria
Description: partial 16S ribosomal RNA
Rfam family: Bacterial small subunit ribosomal RNA
Source: RNAcentral